GAGAGUCUUUCUUCACGUUAUCUCAUAAGGAUGAUUGCGAGGCUGAUCUCCUCGGGAGCCUAAUCUCACAUGAAUGUUUCUAUGUGGGCCCAGGCAGGCAUGAACAUUGGAUCGUGGGCCCAACCUGUUGUGCAUGUUGGUCAUUGGACCUAAUCUCGGUCGAAGACUCGAUCUACUUGAGUGGGGCUCGCGGAUGCUUGUGAUAUGCUAGCGUGUUGUGCAGCAUGCUCUAGUCCUUCUCCUUACCUGAUUGCUCUUGCUCGACUUGUUUGGGACCUCUCGAAUUGCCUACCAGUGAGCCCGUCCACCCUUCUAUAUUCAUCAUGGGAUCCAGGGCCAAUGUCUUAGACUAAAUU
Molecule: long non-coding RNA, 356 nt
Filed under: Prunus persica (peach)
Lineage: Eukaryota; Viridiplantae; Streptophyta; Magnoliopsida; Rosales; Rosaceae
Description: long non-coding RNA (PPER_LNC006898)
Source: RNAcentral